Molecule: ribosomal RNA, 403 nt
Filed under: uncultured bacterium
Lineage: Bacteria
Description: bacterial SSU rRNA
Rfam family: Bacterial small subunit ribosomal RNA
Source: RNAcentral
GGGCCCGCACAAGCGGUGGAGCAUGUGGUUUAAUUCGAUGAUACGCGAGGAACCUUACCAGGGCUUAAAUGUAGUGGGACAGGUCUAGAGAUAGACCCUUCUUCGGACUCAUUACAAGGUGCUGCAUGGUUGUCGUCAGCUCGUGCCGUGAGGUGUCAGGUUAAGUCCUAUAACGAGCGCAACCCUCGUCCUAUGUUGCCAGCACGUAAUGGUGGGAACUCAUGGGAUACUGCCGGGGUCAACUCGGAGGAAGGUGGGGAUGACGUCAAAUCAUCAUGCCCCUUAUGUCUUGGGCUUCACGCAUGCUACAAUGGCCGGUACAGAGGGCUGCAAUACCGCAAGGUGGAGCGAAUCCCAAAAAGCCGGUCUCAGUUCGGAUUGAGGUCUGCAACUCGACCUCAUG